Molecule: long non-coding RNA, 402 nt
Organism: Brassica napus (rape)
Lineage: Eukaryota; Viridiplantae; Streptophyta; Magnoliopsida; Brassicales; Brassicaceae
Exons: 3
Source: RefSeq, a predicted model, not a curated record
GAGAGAAAGAGAGAUAAAUGGAGAGUGAGAAAAUGUGGGGAAGCUUAAUGAACAGAGUGAAACCAUACUUAGCAAUGAUAUCUAUGCAAUUUGGUUAUGCCGGUAUGUACAUAAUCACCAUGGUGUCUCUUAAGCAUGGCAUGAACCAUUACAUUCUAGCUGUUUAUCGCCAUGCAAUCGCCACCGUUGUCAUCGCUCCGUUGCUCUUUUUCAUGAAAGGAAAAUAAGGCCGAAGAUGACGUUCCGAAUAUUCCUACAAAUCGCGCUUCUCGGAUUUAUUGAGCCGGUGCUGGAUCAGAAUCUCUACUACGUCGGGAUGACUUACACAUCAGCAACUUUCGCCUCUGCUACCGCUAAUGUCCUACCCGCCAUCACCUUUGUCUUGGCCAUCAUUUUCAGGUU